AUUCCCCUAGUAACUGCGAGUGAAGCGGGAAAAGCUCAAAUUUAAAAUCUGGUGGCUUUGGUCAUCCGAGUUGUAAUUUAGAGAAGCGUCUUCCGCGCUGGACCGUGCACAAGUCUCCUGGAAUGGAGCGUCAUAGAGGGUGAGAAUCCCGUCUUUGGCACGGACGCACCAGGGCUUCUGUGAUGCGCUCUCGAAGAGUCGAGUUGUUUGGGAAUGCAGCUCAAAAUGGGUGGUGAACUCCAUCUAAAGCUAAAUAUUGGCGAGAGACCGAUAGCGAACAAGUACCGUGAGGGAAAGAUGAAAAGCACUUUGGAAAGAGAGUGAAACAGUACGUGAAAUUGUUGAAAGGGAAACGCUUGAAGUCAGUCGCGUCGACCGAGACUCAGCCUUGCCUCGGCUUGGUGUACUUCUCGGCUGACGGGUCAGCAUCAAUUUUGCCCCUCGGAUAAUGGCGAGGGAAAUGUGGCACCUUUGCGGGUGUGUUAUAGUCCUUUGUCGCAUGCGAGGGUUGGGAUUGAGGAACUCAGCACGCACCUUUAUGGUGUCGGGGCUCUGCCCACGAUACGUGCUUAGGAUGUUGGCGUAAUGGCUUUAAACGACCCGUCUUGAAACACGGACCAAGGAGUCCAACACGCCCGCGAGUGUUCGGGUGGAAAACCCGUGCGCGCAAUGAAAGUGAAAGUUGGGACCUCUGUCGUGGAGGGCACCGACGCCCGGACCAGACCUUCUGUGACGGAUCUGCGGUGGAGCGUGUGUGUUGGGACCCGAAAGAUGGUGAACUAUGCCUGAAUAGGGUGAAGCCAGAGGAAACUCUGGUGGAGGCUCGUAGCGAUUCUGACGUGCAAAUCGAUCGUCAAAUUUGGGUAUAGGGGCGAAAGAC
This 880-nucleotide ribosomal RNA is filed under the name Russula aff. bicolor VH-2016. RNAcentral's name for it is "eukaryotic LSU rRNA". It matches the Rfam family "Eukaryotic large subunit ribosomal RNA", at positions 74 to 931 of the family's 3401-position model. Lineage: Eukaryota; Fungi; Basidiomycota; Agaricomycetes; Russulales; Russulaceae. The record is from RNAcentral.